GGCCCAGCUCUUGCUGAACAAACUUCACCGGUAGCCAACGGCGGUUGCCUCGAAAAGAACUUCCGACAAAGACGUCGC
This 78-nucleotide non-coding RNA is filed under the name unclassified sequences. Its description in RNAcentral is "narK RNA". It matches the Rfam family "narK RNA". The record is from RNAcentral.